Polypterus senegalus (gray bichir) is the source of this 4158-nucleotide RNA transcript. It is a transcript of the gene named PHD finger protein 1, with no coding region annotated. The transcript is spliced from 15 exons. Lineage: Eukaryota; Metazoa; Chordata; Cladistia; Polypteriformes; Polypteridae. The record is from RefSeq and is a predicted model, not a curated record.
UCUAUCUAUCUAUCUAUCUAUCUAUCUAUCUAUCUAUCUAUCUAUCUAUCUAUCUAUCUAUCUGUCGACGCAGUCAGCCACCGUUUAUAGCGAUGUAUUUUUCUUUACUGUAACUUCAGUACCCACUAAGACAAGAAAGAAAACAAAAAUCAUUUUCUUUAGUUUUAACAGGUAUGGACAUGUGAUUUUUAAUGCCAGGUCAUGUUAAGUGGCACUUCCUAGCAAGUGCCAAGUGGCUGUCCCUGCCUGGCACUGCAUGAUCACCGAUCUGAACCCAGCAAGCUGCCCAUCGACUUUAAGUAGUGCUUACUUUUGUCCUGCUCAUCUGUGCAAUCUAAUUGGCCAGGGCUGCCGGACUAGGCUGCCCAGCUUGGAAGCACUUUAAUCAGCAGCAGGAUGUGAGUGUAUUAGAAUGCGUGUGUGAGACAGCGGCAUAAUGUGACUGUGUCCUGCAGGUGAGGUGAUGGAAGGCCAGGCCACCUCAGGAGGUCAGAGUUUGAAGGUUGCCCAAGGUCACGGUGGUCAGCAGUUCGCAGAGGGAGAUGAUGUGCUGGCAAGGUGGAGUGAUGGCCUGCUGUACCUUGGCAAUAUUAAGAGGGUUGACAAAGCGAAGGAAUCUUGCUUAAUUCGCUUUGAAGAUAACUCAGAAUUUUGGGUCCUCUGGAAAGACACACACUCUUCUGUAAGCCCUGGGAUGGAAGGUGUGUGUUGUGUUUGUAAAGGACAGGAGUCAAUUCCAAGGGACAGAAUUAUCAGCUGCCAUAAGUGCCGGCAUGGUUACCACCAGCAGUGCCAUGUGCCACGGAUAGAAGGAGACCUAGAUGUUACUCCCUGGACCUGUAGGCAGUGUGUGUUUGCUGUUGCCACCAAGAGAGGGGGUGCCAGAAAGAAAGGCCGCUUUGCCAGGCUCAUGCAGGCCAUGAAAUUGCUUUUGCCGUAUCAACUGUCAGAUUUGGACUGGGACCCUCAGCACCUGACAAAUCAGCAGCAAUGUUAUUGCUACUGUGCUGGACCUGGGGAGUGGAAUCUGAAAAUGUUACAGUGUUGGACGUGUGGGCAGUGGUUUCAUGAAGCAUGUACCCAGUGUCUGACUAAACCACUGCUGUAUGGGGACAGGUUCUACCAGUUUGAGUGCUCUGUCUGCACAAGGGGGCCUGAGACUAUUAGGAGACUCCCAAUGAACUGGGUAGAUGUGUCACACCUUGUCUUGUACCACCUAAGUCUGUGCUGCAAGAAGAAAUACUUUGAUUUUGAGCGUGAGAUUUUGUCCUUCAUCAACGAGAACUGGGAUUCACUGAUGCUGGGAUCGUUGUCAGACACACCCAAAUCAGAGCGAGGUGAGAAUAUCCUCACUGCCUUGAACUCACACAGAGACAGAUUUGUUUCUGGUAAAGAAAUUAAAAAGAAGAAAUGUCUAUUUGGGCUACAUCUACGGGCACCACCCCCUUUAACCUCUGACCUGACACCUGUGACACCUGAUCUACCUUCUGUGAUGCCACAGGGGGGAGGUUCAUCCCAGUCCAGAAGAAGCCCUCUGGCUGAACGAGCCUUAGGUCAACGUCGAGAAAAGAAGCCAGAACCAGAAUCCCGAAGUCUGGAGCUCCGGACACGAAAAGCCAAGCGAGCAUUCAGUCGUGCAGUGACGCAGGAUUUAGUUCCGAAUCCAGUGAGCCCCAAUCAGCUUUAUCAAGGGUAUGUGGGGAGUUCCAGCACCUAUAAUUUCAGACGGCCAGAGGAGCGAUGGGCACAGGGUUCACCCCCAAAGAGAAUGUUUGCUUCCUUCCACCCUUCUGCCAGUACUGUCUCUCAGUUCAGUUCACCUCCUGCAAGUGCCCAGUAUCAAUACAGAAUAUUAGCAUGACAUCACAGUCAGUUAUCACAUGCCCUAGUGCACAGCUGUGGGUGAGAGGAGAUGAAUCCACUGCGUUGUGAUGAAAUAGCUUGACUCUUUCUGGGACAAGUAUGUACUCACUGAAAUUCCCUUCUUGAAAUAUGGUUUCUUCUGGGCAGAGCUCAGUCACUGGCACACGGCCUAAUCCAGGAGGAGUGGAUCUUUGAGCUAGCUGAUGGUAUCUAAUUCUAAAUUUCCCAAAGAAAUGUCUUUCUUACUCCCAGGAGAGUGGUUUGUAGUCUUCAUCCAGAGAACGAAGAAGUGCAUGCAGCUAGUUUGUAAGGAAAGGUGUAGCCUCUACUGAUUGGUGACAGUUUAUAAAUGUGUUAUUUUGUCAAAAAACAAAGAGCCUUUUAACCCUUUUUGACUAUAGUAGUCUCUACAGAUAUGUCUGGUCAUUCCUAAUUAAAACUUUUUGUUAUUAGAUGAAACUCAGAGACGGCUAAACAAAUGUUAAAUUAUUCCGUUUAGUUGCAGUUGCAGUUUAGUUAUUCCUUUUAGUGUUCACUCUGAAAUGAAAGUGGGAGAGGUGCAUCUGCCUUUCUAUAUUCUUGGUAACUCUGUUCUUAAGAGGAUUUGUGUGCCACUGAAACCUUAGGAAAAAUGUGUUAUGUAUCACUUUAUUUAUGUUAAAUUUUAUUUUUUGAUGCCUUUUCUAUUGUUCUUUUAUGCCCAUAUUGUGUAGUCAUAUUUAUUAAUAACAACUGGAAUGGUAGUUUACUUUUAGUGAGAUUGUAUUUACUGUACCUAUAAAGAUGGAUUUUUCCUGUAAUUUGUUUUGUGUAAUGUCUUUAACGCAAAGAGAUAAAAGGUCACCAUUGACAUUGGCUUCCUAUCUGUGAAUACAGAUAACUACCUGAAAAACUGCUUCUAAAAAACCUUUUGGAAUUUUGUGUUUCUCUGGCUUUGUUUUAUGUCUCAUGUUUUGGUUUGGUUCUUGUUUAUUAUUGGCUUUAACCUUUUCUUUGCUUUUAAUAAACUCUUUGCCUCCACUCUUGAUCUUUGAACCUCUACACUGCAUUUUGCAAUCUGUGCAGUACAAAAUGAGUCACUGUCCACUUUGCUCUACAAUACACAUGCACACCCACAGCAGUACCUACUCUGUGCUAGAUCUGGACCUGACAGUUAACUUACAACUAUGACAACUCAUACUGCAUACCAACCAACUCCGGAUAGAGCUCAUGUGCAUUGCGGGACACCAAUAUAUUCUCGCAUUCUCUUUCACAAGCGGACAAAUUAGACAUGCUCAUCAACGGGCCGUAUGCCUUUAGGAUUUGAAAGAAAAAAUCUGUUUGACAUGGUGAGCAAGUGACCCACAGAUGUAUGAGGGAUGUUCAAUAAUUUAUCUACCUGAGUAUGAAGAAAGUAGCAAGCAUGUUGAAACAAGUCUGGGUAUGUUGUGACAUGUCUCAAAGUUACUCAUGCACAGUUGUAGCUCAGUGCGAGUCUAACAUUCCAAAGAGACAGGAUGUCAGGAGAGUCAUUGUGCGAAUCAAGUAAGCUUCUUCACGACAAUGCACCUGUUCAUAUGUCAUAUCAAUCACAGGCUGCCAUCCAAGAAUGUGGGUUCCAGCAGCUGAAGCACCCAUCCUACAGUCUUGACUUGGCUCCCUCAGAUUAUUUCCUGUUCCGAGUUUUGAAGAAAUCUCUCUGUGGACAGCAGUUUUCAAGUGAUUAAGACAUCAAGGCAGCUGUGACGUCCUGGUUUGAAGGUCAAACAGAUUUUUUUUCAAAGGGGUUAAGGUUAUCACAGGAAAUCUGGAUGAAGUGUAUGGAACUAUCAAAGGACAAUAUUGAUAAAUAAAGCAGCAUUUUUUUAAAACUCCUUUCUUUUCUACUGAGGUAGAUAAAUUAUUGAACACCCCUCAUAAAAUAAAGUGCAAGUAAGAAUUCAUGAACGUAUUUGAAUAGUAAAUCCCCCUGAAAUCUGAUCUUUCGUCUGCAAUACACAGUACUCCAUUUAUAAGUGCAGAACAUUGUAUAUAUUGCUAAAUGGUAAAGGAAUUAUUUUAUCACUUUUGCAGUGUAGAAAAUGCAAGAAUUUGGAAAAAAAUGUGAAUUUCCUAAAUAAUUGCACAUCUGUCUUUUUCUGACCUUGCAGUGCAAGUGUGUUAAUAGAUGUUUUAAACUCACACAUGAGUAACUGAAAGAUGGAGCACUGCGAAUGGAAUCUGAAACCUAGAGGGCAGCAAUGCACUAAUGGUGUUGACUGACAGAUAAUGAUCAGGGAAAAGGGGCUAUAAGACUUGUAAUGUAAUGGCUAUCUG